AAUGAACGCUGGCGGCGUGCUUUACACAUGCAAGUCGAGCGAGGCGUGGAGCAAUCCACAGUCGAGCGGCGAACGGGUGAGUAACGCGUGGAUGACCUGCCCUUCAGCGGGGAAUAACCC
RNAcentral lists this ribosomal RNA (120 nucleotides) under uncultured bacterium. RNAcentral's name for it is "partial 16S ribosomal RNA". It matches the Rfam family "Bacterial small subunit ribosomal RNA", at positions 29 to 149 of the family's 1533-position model. The record is from RNAcentral.